This is a long non-coding RNA of Solanum lycopersicum (tomato), 1119 nucleotides long. RefSeq lists it as uncharacterized. Lineage: Eukaryota; Viridiplantae; Streptophyta; Magnoliopsida; Solanales; Solanaceae. The record is from RefSeq and is a predicted model, not a curated record.
UACUAUUCAUAAUUGUUUGUACGAUAAUGACAUAAAUAGAAGUAUAUAAGCACCACAAUAAAUAAGCAUAUAACAAGGAUUUCAAUUUCGCUGUCUAUUCAUCAUGACUUUUUUAAAGUUUGUUUCCAAAUUUUAGAUGGCUGAUGGUGAGGAUGAUGAAAUCUCUCCUCUGUAUCAAGCACCAUUUAUAGGAAAACUAAGUACCUUUUACCGGGAGAUGGCGAUGAAACUUAAACUACCUAAGUUUUACGGUCAUCCACUUAAUUUCCUAAAGUUAAUGGAGAUCAGUGAUCAGAUUAGGUGGCUAUGAUCGUGUAAGCCUUCUAUUUUGCACUUAUAUUUGAUUAGUUCUCGAUUAUAGAUUUUACCUUUUUAAUUGAGUCAAAAACUACAGAAGAUAUUUUUAACUUCAAAAAAAUGUCCUCACUUAAUUGAAGCAAUGGGUCAAUAAUCGAGUGUAAUAAGUCAAGGAACUUUUUUUUGAUUAACCAUGACUUUAUGUGGUCAUUUUUGUUUUAAAAAAAAUUGCGGCUUAUUUACACGGCCAUGUGUAAGGCAUCCAUAAAGGGAUAGGUUUAUCUUUCCAAAUAUCACGAUGUGAACCUCGAGUUGUUAGAGAUAGUAUUCUUAAUUUUUCUUUUAAGAGAUAAGUAAUGUAGCUCUGUACUUUCUAGUAUAAUUUAAAAAAAUCAAGAGGUGGUUGUGUAUUUUCUUUUGUUACUAGGUUGAUUAAUUAAUGAUGCAAUAUGCUAUGAGUCUGUGAGAUGAAUUUUAUGUCAUUCCUAUAUACUUUUGAUGGUGUACUAAUAAGCUACUUUAUCUUUGUAAGUAACUGAAUUGAAGUCGUGGCGGCAUGUGGGAGACUCCUUUAAUCCCCCACCCCCCAAGUGAGCAUUUAUUUGGGCCUUGUUAUUUCUGUUUUUCUGGAAAUUUGAUAAGAAUAUUUCUCAUUGCUCGUCAAAUAUAAAAUUCCCAAUAUGCAAUUUGUACGGGAGAUGUUGUCUGUUAUUGUUUUAGUGAUGAUGUGCCAUGAUUUUGAUGUUUAUUUAUGUUGUUUUGUGAAAUGCUGCGAUAUAUUUUGGGUACAUGAAAUAGGAAUAAGCUGCUUUGUUGCUAGAA